GAUGCACGCGAGUUGCUCGGCGCCUUCUUCUUCUUGAAUAGUUGGGUGACCCGCCAUUAGACCACUAAUUUUGGCUUUGCUCGUUCUCUCCAAGCCCAUUGAGAAUUAAUUUAGUUGAUUGUCUGUAGAAUUCAUGGUGGUGAUGGACCUUUAUCUGCCCAAUGUUCUCAUGGAGUUUUCAUGCAACUAGCAGGUCGUCCAUGUUGUUCUUUAUGCAUUUAAAAAAAUACUAAUUAAAGGGAAAGGCAUGAAUGUGUAAGUUUUGCAGCAGUAGAUUCAGAGUGGGUUAAAAAAAAUUAUACAAUUCUUCAACCUCUUAAGAAUUAUGCAAUCAUCUCCUCGGAGUAGUGAGGAGGGCAUGCGUCAGAGGCCUGUCGACAGAGGAAGUGCAUGUUUGUAUUUCAUCAGGGGGAUAGUUGUGAGCAAUGCAUACAUCUAGGUUUCCUAUUUUUAUUUUAGAGACAAACAACUUAGUUGUGGGAUUGUCGUGUUAGUUUUUCAAAAUGAAAAUUCAGUGAUGAUCAUGUUUUAUCAGCACAGGUUCAGAGAUAACUUUAAUGAGUAAACAAAUAAUUUUCAUGCAGGUCAGUUCUGAUGUGUGUUGAAUAGCUCAAUUUUGUUUUGAUCUGCUACGUUUAGUCAUUGUUUGCUCUAGCAUCAACACUAACUGUCACACGCACGCCGCCCCAUGGACGCCCCUGACUGAGGUGCGGGUCGGUGCUUGCUGUCGGUCCAUCCGCAUCGGCGCAGUGGCAUGUACCCCUUGAAAGCUUUGAAGCCUGAAAAAGCCGCAGGACCAGAUCUUCCCAUCAACCUGAAGAUGUGAAGUACGCUGUGUCUCCCGGUAUUUCUGUUGCUUCCGCUGGAUGACGCUCUAUUGUCGUUGUUGCCUCAGCCCUCCCAAUUGUCAUGUUCUUCCCUUCUCUUGCUGCUCGAUGAAGUUGGUCAUGCUGCUAGCUUUGCAUUCUAUGGAGUCUCUAUCUCUACCUAUGAUAAAUUCAGUAUCGUUCUACACACGUGUUUGUACCAAUCCAAGCCCUGGCUGAUGAUAUAGUUUUGACUUGUAAUGAUCUGACUAUGUAUUACCUUUUAUGGGAUGUAUGUAUGCCAGUAUACAUGAUUAAGUUCUAGGCAAAAGAGGGUGUCAUAUUUUAUCUCGGUGUGGAACAUCAUCUUUUAGUUGAACCUAGAUGUUUAUUCAAUCUGAAUUUAGAUGUUUUAUUUAGCAUGUACUAGCUAGCUUGUGAUUUCCUAUGCUGCAAACUGUAACUAAUUUUCUUUAGCUGCUGGCUUUGAUACUAUAGAUGACUGGAGCACCUUGUGGUGACUUUGUUCUGCUCGCGAUGUAGUUCUAGAGCAGCUUCAGCGGCAAGGUAAAAAUUCAAUUUCGGAGAGUGGGAUAACUCCCACUAUUUACACUCAUUUUGAAUUGACAGAUCCUAUAAUAGCAUGGAUAAUUGUGCAGAUGCCAUAGUUUCCUAAUUACUACGAUGAUUUGCUGGAUGAGGAGGUGGGUGAGAUGAUGCACAAGGAGGUUGUCGCCGGUCAGAGGAGGAGGGCGACAAGGCUGGAGAGCCGAGGCAGAGGCUUACGGGGAAGAGAAGAAACGACACCUUAUACAUAAAGGAUACCCGCUCCCAGGUGCCAGGAGGACAGCCGUGGCUGACGGAGGUGUGGCUUUCUAAAAACUAAACCUUUCCUCUGUAAUGCAUAGCUUCUCUGUAGAACAUCCAAUUGUUCUUAGGUAGUAUGACUGGAUAACAUCAUUAUUUUGGUCAAACUAAAAUUUACAGAGGGAGGCCUAGGGGAACGUUAGGUUAAGUAAGGUUGGUUUUGUAUCUUCUGUAUUUUAUUGAAAAUGAAGUGCUUCCACCAACAUGAAUAUUCCACGAAAAUCAGACUUCAUAUUUUGUAAAACAUGAAGGUCCAGUCUCUAUAGAUAUCCUCAGUAGGUCAAGGAUAUAAAUUAUUAUCUGCAUUUAUCUCGUGUAUUUUGAUGGAUGGUUGUGGCUGAACCAGCAAAUGCUCAUUGAGAUUUAGAUUACAGGAUAAGAGUGUCGAGGAAGUUAACACAUGAAGUAAUCAUAUGAUUCUACCAUGACUUAGUGCUGCACAUAUGUUGAGGUAGUUACGCAGACAUCUGUUCUACCAAGGUUCUUACUUAUAUGCACUUGUACAUUCUGUUGUUAUAGUUGAUUGAAAUGCUCUAACUUAUGGUUUGCCAUAUGGCCAUGGAUUGUAUAUAGUUUGGUUUCAACACUCCCAAAUAAUAAAUGGUUCCUUUGUUUGUUUUUGUGUUUCAUAGCAAGGAUUAAAUAAUUAGAACCCAAAAGUGAGUUUCAGGAUUUGUAAUGAAAUCCUAUUUGUCGCCUUAUGUCGAGGCAGCCAUGACGCUCUCUGUUGCAAAUAUACCACAACUAAUUUUACAACUCACCCAGUCGUUAUUCCUUAUGAGCUGAUUUAUAUAACUCGGGAUAUAAUGUCCAAGAUUUCUCACGAAUGUACAUUCUAGAUUCUGUGAGGUUAGAAGGUACUUUUAAGAAUAUAGCUGAACUCCAGAUUAUCUUCCUUUUGAUCAACGCUUCUACUAGAGUUCAUUAACUAUGUCAGAUGUCUGUUGGUGUUGGCAUCACAUAGUCCCUGUCAUGAGCAUGCCAUGUUCUCUGAAGUUUACCGAAACAACAAAUAUUUAGUUGAACAUUGACAGCGUUUCUUGUUUUUUCUACUUAAGGAGUUCGAAAAAUUACAGGGUUUUUAAGUUUUAUCUAUGCUUUGUUGGAAGGUAUGCUCGGAUCACUUCUAGAGAUCUGGAGAGGAAAGUUUGUUCCUUCCUUACAAGAGCCAUAUAAACAAUAAGGAAAAGCUCUUUCCUAGCAUAAGGUGAAUCUUGUAUAGUUUAAUUUGGGUAUAUUUUCUUAUAAAUGUGUAUUGUUGCAUACAUAAAUUGUCUCAGUUAGACGAACAAUUUUUUAUUUAGCGGUGACAUACUUGGGACACCAGGAAUAGGAUUGCGGCAGGGUUGGCCAAAGGACUGCACUACUUGCACUUUUUGUACAGCCCAGGAUACCAUAUUGCAACCUAAGGCCAUUGGUAAUUCAGUUAAAUAUAUAUAUUCUCAUUUUUCAGACUUCAGUCAUCAAUUUAGUUCAAUCUGUUAGCUUACUGAUUGCUGCAUAACUACCAUUUCUCAAAUUUACAAUGCGGUUUCUGUGUUGAUUUCAAAAUGGUGAGAUAUAGUUAGUUAUUCACAUUUUAGCAGGGACAAAUCUUGAUUCUUAAAUGCAGGCUAACUGUCAAUUAAUCUUUUAUGUAUAAUACCAACAUGUGUCGUGAUAAUAUAAGAAUGCAACAUUGUAGUGCCAUAUAAUCUAUCAUUUUUUUGGAACCAUAAGCAUGCAGCAUGUACUGCCAAAACUAUUUAUCAUAUGCUGUCAGAGAGAUCUAGCUCAAUAUGGGUUCAGAAGGAAAUUGUCAAAGAUGAAGUGGUACACAUCUACAAUUAUAGUAAAUUUUCUUUAGGGAUUCUAUUACCAAGAAGCACUUGAGUGGUUUGCUCCAUGGUAUAACUAACGAGCAUUUACUGGCUUCCUUCGUUAGUGUUUAUUUGGCAACGGGCAAAGCCAAGGCGUCGCCGGCGAUGCGCUAUCGUUCAGGCGCAUCAUCAAGGCCCGUCUUGACGUGAGCAUGAGGUUGCGUGCUGAAUAUCAUCUCUGUCGGCUGCACCUUGAUCGAUAGGAUGGAAGAUGAGAUGUGUGGACCACCGUUUAUUGGUUGCAGAGAAUUUUUUGUGGGGAGGUGAGACUAUGUAUGUGGGCUAGGAAAGUGCGUCGUCUGUUUCAGUAGCGGUUUCAGAAGCGGAAGAGCAAACAAUUUCGGGCUAGACGGCUGGCGUUGAGUCUUGACUGUUAGGCUUACGGAACUGCUGGAUGAGAGUAUAGUAGAGGCAAGCAUAGCCCAGCGAACAAAUAGGAAAAAUAAAAUAAUUGAUGAUGGAGUUUAUAGGUCAGACCCGAGGAGGUGGGCUUGAGUGGGACUGCAUGAGAUAUGACGUGGCUCGAUGUGAUUAGAUGCGGAGGUGUCUAUGCUGCAUGUUGAGAUAAAUCAAGGAGUGGGGGUGAACAAAUUAAGUAGCAACGCAUGGGUAUUACACCCAAUGUAGUGCCAUAAAUCUCAUCGUAUUGUAUAACCCUCAUCUCAUUGUAUUGUAUAUAUUCAUAUAUUGAUGCAUCAAGGGGUUGCUAAUUGUUGCGAAGUGACAUCUACAUUGCCAACAGAGAAAAUAAAGUUAGUGCGAAGAAGACACGCGUCAGGGAGGAAGUAGGGCAUGCACAAUAGAAUGGGGAUAUAUUUAGGAUGUGAUGAAAAACUGCAUGCUAUAGCAGAGAGACUUGGAUUGGAGGCAAGUCGAGUUAUGGGCGGAGAUGAGAUGACGAAGACAAGAUGAAGACUUGUGGCGGGGAAAAACACGACAUGAUUUAGACGACAAGGGUGCCAUCCCUCCUAACUGCGCCACCCCGGCGUGCUCGAUGUUGACGCUGAGGGUGCCGUCUCUCCACCUCGUUGUGCCACACCAUUGUGCCUCAUGUAAACGAUGCGGGCGUCGUCCCUCCUCGCUGCGUCACACCUUUGUGCCGGUUGUAGAGACGAGGGCGCCGUCAGCGGCGAGCCUUUCUGCACCGAACAAUAGGAUCCAUCUGACCAUGAUGCCUGAUUGGCGAGCGCACGGGCUCCAUGCCGAUGUGGUGGCGGGAGGGGUUGUCAUCAGAGAAGGAGGCCAACGAUGCCAUAGCGGGGAGAGGAGGAUGUGGGCGACACCAUUGNNN
This 4823-nucleotide long non-coding RNA is filed under the name Triticum aestivum (bread wheat). RNAcentral's name for it is "long non-coding RNA (TAES_LNC003112)". The record is from RNAcentral. Lineage: Eukaryota; Viridiplantae; Streptophyta; Magnoliopsida; Poales; Poaceae.